Molecule: ribosomal RNA, 467 nt
Filed under: uncultured bacterium
Lineage: Bacteria
Description: bacterial SSU rRNA
Rfam family: Bacterial small subunit ribosomal RNA
Source: RNAcentral
AACCAGACUCCUACGGGAGGCAGCAGUGAGGAAUAUUGGUCAAUGGGCUUACGCCUGAACCAGCCAAGUCGCGUGAGGGAAGACUGCCCUAUGGGUUGUAAACCUCUCUUGUCAGGGAGCAACGCCGGCUACGUGUAGCCGGACUGAGAGUACCUGAAGAAAAAGCAUCGGCUAACUCCGUGCCAGCAGCCGCGGUAAUACGGAGGAUGCGAGCGUUAUCCGGUUUUAUUGGGUUUAAAGGGUGCGUAGGCGGAAGGCAAACGCAGGGGUAAAAUCCGGGGGCUCACCCUCGGUCCGCCGUUGAAACUGGCGGUCUUGAGUGGGCGAGAAGUAUGCGGAAUGCGUGGUGUAGCGGUGAAAUGCAUAGAUAUCACGCAGAACUCCGAUUGCGAAGGCAGCAUACCGGCGCCCAACUGACGCUGAAGCACGAAAGCGUGGGUAUCGAACAGGAUUAGAUACCCCCGUAC